Molecule: ribosomal RNA, 385 nt
Filed under: Halicampus crinitus
Lineage: Eukaryota; Metazoa; Chordata; Actinopteri; Syngnathiformes; Syngnathidae
Description: partial 12S ribosomal RNA
Rfam family: Bacterial small subunit ribosomal RNA
Source: RNAcentral
GCAUAGUCGUAAACAAUGAUAACAACACACUCAUUAUCCGCCUGGGGACUACGAGCACUAGCUUAAAACCCAAAGGACUUGGCGGUGCUUUAGACCCACCUAGAGGAGCCUGUUCUAGAACUGAUAACCCCCGUUAAACCUCACCCUAUCUUGUUGUAUCCGCCUAUAUACCGCCGUCGUCAGCUUACCUUAUGAAAGAAUAAAAGUGAGCAAAGUUGGUUCAACCUAAAACGUCAGGUCGAGGUGUAGUGUAUGGUAGGGGAAGAAAUGGGCUACAUUCAUCCAUCGAUGAACAUACGAAUGAUUAAUUGAAAAAUAAACCUGAAGGAGGAUUUAGCAGUAAGAAGAAAAUAGAGUGUUCUUCUGAAAUUGGCCCUGAAGCGCG